AGUACCUCUAUAUCACCAAAACAAAAAUUCAGCAACACAUACAACAUGAACUAUUUCCUGGAAAUGAGAAAAAAAAGGAGCAUAAACAUGCUUUUUCAUAUACUAACUACUAACCAGUACAACCCUGCAUAAACAAAUAACAUAACUGGAAGGUGCGAGUUGCUGGGUGGUGUGGUAGUUAUUUCUCUCCUUCAACUCAUCAAUAUUGGCCUACCUUUCAGCACAGUUAGUACCAACGCUUCUGUACCAAAGGAUGAAAGGCAAGGAUGGAAUAUCCUUCCAACUGUGUGCCAGGCAAUGUAGUGGGUGGCAGCAUAACCUCCGGAUCGAUCCACCACCACCUUCGACAUAGGCAUAGUGUCGGUCUAUAGGACUUUACUGUUGCCGAUAUGUCGGUUUAUAUUUCAUGUUUUUUGUCAGACUUUUGAAUUUGGCUGUGUGCAUCUCAGUUAUGCAGAGGCCGGGUGUUACUCAUAAUGUUUUGUAUCCCCUUGAUGCUACAUUCUGAGAUAAUAAAAUCGCCCUUUAUCAAAAAAAAGGCAAUGUAGUGGGUACGGUAUUGCCCAUCGACUCGCUAAGAUUCAAAAUCUCCGUUUUUAUUCGUUCAUUGUCGGCAAUGAUCAUUUCUAAUUUCUAAAAUUCAAAAACAUUUGAAGUCACAAAUGACUGCUAACAGGACGCCCAUAUACUGUAAAAAAAGAGAGUGGAGACCCAUAGUUGCAGCAUUGGAAGGCCAAAAAUCUAUGGAAGUAGAAGAUGG
RNAcentral lists this long non-coding RNA (760 nucleotides) under Triticum aestivum (bread wheat). Its description in RNAcentral is "long non-coding RNA (TAES_LNC004828)". Lineage: Eukaryota; Viridiplantae; Streptophyta; Magnoliopsida; Poales; Poaceae. The record is from RNAcentral.